This 213-nucleotide unclassified non-coding RNA is filed under the name plant metagenome. RNAcentral describes it as "partial contains small subunit ribosomal RNA, internal transcribed spacer 1, and 5.8S ribosomal RNA". The record is from RNAcentral.
UUUCCGUAGGUGAACCUGCGGAAGGAUCAUUCAUAAUAAGUGUUUUUUGGCACUUUUUUAAAUCCAUAUCCACCUUGUGUGCAAUGUCAGGGUUGAUUUUUCUCUCGAGAGGAUCAACCCCAAACAUCAACUAUAUCUCAACUCUUUGUCUGAAAAAUAUUAUGAAUAAAACAAUUCAAAAUACAACUUUCAACAACGGAUCUCUUGGCUCUC